Molecule: unclassified non-coding RNA, 343 nt
Filed under: uncultured fungus
Lineage: Eukaryota; Fungi
Description: sequence contains 5.8S rRNA gene
Source: RNAcentral
GAACGCAUAUUGCACCCAAGUGGGUAACCACAGGGUAUACUUGCCUGAGAAUAUGUAUGUUUAAUUAAUCAAUCGAAAGAUUUUCUUUCAUUUGAUUAGCAUUGAGGAGUUCGAACUAACAGAGAAGGCUCUGGUUCGUUCCUUUAAAAUAAUACAUAAAAAAGGGGAAAAAAAAAAAAAAAAAAUUACAAGAAGCAUUAUUGAUUACUCCGACGUGUCGGAAUAUUUUUGUGCGAUCUUAAGCGUAGUUUUUUUUUCUUUUUUCCUCUUUUAAAAAAACUGAGGGGGACCUCAAUUUUUCUUCAUAAUCUCAGUUUAAGUAAGACUACCCGCUGAACUUAAG